RNAcentral lists this small RNA (1059 nucleotides) under Pongo abelii (Sumatran orangutan). RNAcentral's name for it is "processed transcript". Lineage: Eukaryota; Metazoa; Chordata; Mammalia; Primates; Hominidae. The record is from RNAcentral.
GUCGCCGCGAAGCCGGUCGCGCGCAGCUCGUCCCGGCCCUGGCCCGCCGCAGACGAGGAUCCGCUGCGCUCGGGAAACGCGACAGCGGCGCUCGUGGCCCCGGACCUGAAGACCCUUCCAGAAUGCCAGAGGAAAGUUCCCCCAGGCGGACCCCACAGAGCAUUCCCUACCAGGACCUCCCUCACCUGGUCAAUGCAGAUGGACAGUACCUCUUCUGCAGGUACUGGAAACCCACAGGCACACCCAAGGCCCUCAUCUUUGUGUCCCACGGAGCCGGAGAGCACUGUGGCCGCUAUGAAGAGCUGGCUCGGAUGCUGAUGGGGCUGGACCUGCUGGUGUUUGCCCACGACCAUGUUGGCCACGGACAGAGUGAAGGGGAGAGGAUGGUAGUGUCUGACUUCCACAUUUUCGUCAGAGAUGUGUUGCAGCAUGUGGAUUCCAUGCAGAAAGACUACCCUGGGCUUCCUGUCUUCCUUCUGGGCCACUCCAUGGGAGGCGCCGUCGCCAUCCUCACGGCCGCAGAGAGGCCGGGCCACUUCGCCGGCAUGGUACUCAUUUCGCCUCUGGUUCUUGCCAAUCCUGAAUCUGCAACAACUUUCAAGGAUUAUUCGAGGAUUUUGAAACACUUGAUGGAAAAGGCAUCAAGAAUGUUAAAGUUUUGGAUUCCACGUCCUUUUUGGGUGAGCAGCUCCCCUCUGAGGCUUCCCUGGUGUGCUCACAGCUCAGAGUGGAGGUUGUGGGAGAGCGGGAGCAGCAGUCAUCUGGUCGACCUUGACAAUGUGAUCCAUCUGGGUGUGGGAUCUGCCAUGACUCUUUCCUUCCCCACUGCUUCCUCGUCAUGCCGCCUCAAUGGCCCCUGCUCAACCGUUCUGCCUUCCUUCAUGCACAAUCAACCCACUUCCUCUGCUUAGCUCUUUCUCCUCCCAUCCUACCCUUUCCUCCUUCAGGAGAGAUUAGGCUCAUGAAAUCAACAAAUCUUAAAAGAGCAGCAGGGAAAGGGAAUCUCUUUUGAAGUUGUUCAAAGCAUCCUGCCCCUGCAUGGCAGCUCUCCUCUUUCUU